RNAcentral lists this ribosomal RNA (499 nucleotides) under uncultured bacterium. RNAcentral's name for it is "bacterial SSU rRNA". It matches the Rfam family "Bacterial small subunit ribosomal RNA", at positions 8 to 507 of the family's 1533-position model. The record is from RNAcentral.
AGAGUUUGAUCAUGGCUCAGAAUGAACGUUGGCGGCGUGGAUUAGGCAUGCAAGUCGCACGAGAACCCCGGCAAGGGGGGACAGUGGCAAACGGCGUAGUAAGGCGUAGGUGACGUACCCCGAGGACCGGGAUAGCCACGGGAACUGUGGUAAUACCGGAUAAUUCCCCUCUUCUUGAAAAGGAGGGGGCAAAGGUGAGAGUCCGUCUUGGGAGCGGCUUACGUAGUAUUAGCUAGUUGGUGAGGUGACGGCUCACCAAGGCGAUGAUGCUUAGGGGGUGUUAGCGCAUGACCCCCACGACUGGGACUGAGAUACUGCCCAGACACCUACGGGUGGCUGCAGUCGAGAAUCUUCGGCAAUGGGCGCAAGCCUGACCGAGCGACGCCGCGUGCGGGAUGAAGGCCCUUGGGUUGUAAACCGCUGUCAGAGGGGAUGAAAUGUAUGUGGGCACUCCCAUGUAUUUGACAUAGCCUCAGAGGAAGCACGGGCUAAGUUCGUG